CAAACUAGGAGAUGGCGACCGGCGCACGGGUGAGUAACACGUACCCAACCUGCCGAUAACUCGGGGAUAGCCUUUCGAAAGAAAGAUUAAUACCCGAUGGCAUAAUAGAACCGCAUGGUUUGAUUAUUAAAGAAUUUCGGUUAUCGAUGGGGAUGCGUUCCAUUAGGCAGUUGGUGGGGUAACGGCCCACCAAACCUUCGAUGGAUAGGGGUUCUGAGAGGAAGGUCCCCCACAUUGGAACUGAGACACGGUCCAA
This 256-nucleotide ribosomal RNA is filed under the name uncultured bacterium. RNAcentral describes it as "partial 16S ribosomal RNA". It matches the Rfam family "Bacterial small subunit ribosomal RNA", at positions 77 to 334 of the family's 1533-position model. The record is from RNAcentral.